UAGGCGGCCUUUUAGCCAUUGCUUUGUCGAUUUGAUUUCAAGUUGUCCCUUUGGUCCCUUGUGUAAUUCAAAGAUCAGAUCGGCAUUGUUUUGGUUAGUUCGACGCGUUGGCGUGUGAGUGGCAAACUGAGUGUAUGUGUUGGCUGGCUCCCUGCUUACACAGCGAACUGUCAUCGCAUACACAUUUCAUUUGUGGCGGAGUUGUGGGUUUCGGAUUUUUGUGUUGGCAACCAAAUGAUGGAAUUCUUAUGUCCCUGAUGUGUAUGAUUGCCGAACAUCCCUCGUGGUGCUAGGCUAACGAAGAAGCUACUCCUUUUAUGCCCUGCGCUCCCUUUCUUGGGAACCAUGGAAAAUUGGCAGUGAUGCUUGUUGCCUCGGAUGUAGAGCAUGUGGAGAGCAUGUUGCCUGUACUCAUUGCUCAUUCAGAGCUCUCGGUUGCUCGGAAAGAGGGACCGUCGUGCUUGGUUUUGGCUGUCGACUUGUCGAUCUAGCUAGUAACUUUGCCGACGUCCUCAAUGAAUGCUACCUGGUUGAUCCUGCCAGUAGUCAUAUGCUUGUCUCAAAGAUUAAGCCAUGA
Molecule: unclassified non-coding RNA, 577 nt
Filed under: Villadia cucullata
Lineage: Eukaryota; Viridiplantae; Streptophyta; Magnoliopsida; Saxifragales; Crassulaceae
Description: partial contains external transcribed spacer and 18S ribosomal RNA
Rfam family: Eukaryotic small subunit ribosomal RNA (bases 524-577)
Source: RNAcentral